Long non-coding RNA from Capsicum annuum, 522 nucleotides. RefSeq lists it as uncharacterized. The record is from RefSeq and is a predicted model, not a curated record. The transcript has 2 exons. NCBI's taxonomy places the organism in Eukaryota, Viridiplantae, Streptophyta, Magnoliopsida, Solanales, Solanaceae.
GGUUGAAGUAAAAACGACAAAGUUGCACACAAACAUAUGUAACAGAUGAAAAUUUGGGUUGGAUUUCAUUUUUUCUUCACACUUUCAGUAAAGGGUCGAGAUUAGUUGACACAUGUCAAUGUGAAUGAAACUCUUCUUGCCCAGAUUUGACCAUUUUCAUUUCUCAGUAAUGGAGUGAGCAAUUUGGGGGUUACACGGUUUUUGGCCAUUUUGGGUUGGUGACACAAGGACUAGUACCAUUUAUGUUUGUUAGAUAAGAAUUUUUUUCUUUUUCUUAAAUUAUUAAUUUUGAGAUUGCUAGACAGGGUGGGUUGUAGUCUUUGGGGGUAGAAAAUAUAAAGGAGAGAAAAAAGGUAAAGUUAGCGAUAGAAAGCCAUACAAUUGUGAUAAAAAUGGCAAAAAAAUUACCUAAAUCUCUCUCAUUUGGUACUUCCACUGUAUUCCUACAGAAGAGGGAACUUUUCCAUGAUUUGGGCCCUGUGUUGUGGAACUCAUUUGGUACACCCACUGUAUUCCUACAGG